CCUACGGGGGGCAGCAGUGAGGAAUAUUGGUCAAUGGGCGGAAGCCUGAACCAGCCAAGUAGCGUGCGGGAUGAAGGCCCUACGGGUCGUAAACUUCUUUUGACAGGGAAGAGCAGAAGACGGUACCUGUCGAAUAAGCCACGGCUAACUCCGUGCCAGCAGCCGCGGUAAUACGGAGGAUGCGAGCGUUAUCCGGAUUUAUUGGGUUUAAAGGGUGCGCAGGCGGAGGUGCAAGUCAGCGGUCAAAUUGCGGGGCUCAACCCCGUACUGCCGUUGAAACUGCAUCCCUUGAGUGCGCGAGAAGUAUGCGGAAUGCGUGGUGUAGCGGUGAAAUGCAUAGAUAUCACGCAGAACUCCGAUUGCGAAGGCAGCAUACCGGCGCGCAACUGACGCUCAUGCACGAAAGCGUGGGUAUCGAACAGGAUUAGAUACCCCAGUAGUC
RNAcentral lists this ribosomal RNA (442 nucleotides) under uncultured bacterium. RNAcentral describes it as "partial 16S ribosomal RNA". It matches the Rfam family "Bacterial small subunit ribosomal RNA", at positions 338 to 795 of the family's 1533-position model. The record is from RNAcentral.